Molecule: ribosomal RNA, 701 nt
Filed under: Absidia sp. (in: mucoromycotan fungi)
Lineage: Eukaryota; Fungi; Mucoromycota; Mucoromycetes; Mucorales; Cunninghamellaceae
Description: Absidia sp. (in: Fungi) partial large subunit ribosomal RNA
Rfam family: Eukaryotic large subunit ribosomal RNA
Source: RNAcentral
UUAGUGAUUCCUCAGUACGGCGAGUGACAGGGAAAAGCUCAAAGUUGGAACCUCCUGGCCCUAGGCCUGGCGGAUUGUAAACUAAAGCUUUCGAGUAGUUCGGCUAGCCCAGUAAAUAAGUUCUCUGGAAAGGGACGACAAAGAGGGUGAAAUCCCCGUUUUUGGCUGGAGCAUAGUCCUGCGUUUGCUUGGAAGUGAAGAGUCAGGUUGUUUGGUAUUGCAGCCUAAAGUGGGAGGUAAAUCUCUCCUAAAGCUAAAUAUUGACGAAAGACCGAUAGCGAACAAGUACCGUGAGGGAAAGAUGAAAAGCACCUUGAAAAGGGGGUCAAAAAGUACGUGAAAUUGCUGAAAGGGAACCGUAUGAAAUCAGCCUGUCUCUUUGGUAAUCAGCCUGGACUUUGGUCUGGGUGCACUUGCCAGUGAGUCAGCCUACGACAAUUUGACCUGGGGGAAAAAAUCAGGGGGAAUGUGGCCUCGGCUUCGGUUGAGGUGUUAUAGCCCCUUGAAAAAUACUCUGGGUUGGAUUGAGGACUGCAGCGAGCCUUCUGGGAUGAACUGUGGGUGCUUGGUCGUAGCUAGAAAGAAAUCUCUAUCUCUGGUAGUGUCUUUUUAGUUGUGGUCAACUCGCCUACUUUUUCUUUUUCUCGCUUAGGUCGUAGGCAUAAUGAUUUUAUAUGACCCGUCUUGACCCACGGGACCAA